RNAcentral lists this ribosomal RNA (460 nucleotides) under uncultured bacterium. Its description in RNAcentral is "partial 16S ribosomal RNA". It matches the Rfam family "Bacterial small subunit ribosomal RNA", at positions 338 to 795 of the family's 1533-position model. The record is from RNAcentral.
CCUACGGGUGGCAGCAGUGAGGAAUAUUGGUCAAUGGGCGCGAGCCUGAACCAGCCACGUAGCGUGAAGGAUGACUGCCCUACGGGUUGUCAACUUCUUUUAUAAAGGAAUACAGUGAGGCACGUGUGCCAUUUUGUAUGUCCUUUAUGAAUAAGGAUCGGCUAACUCCGUGCCAGCAGCCGCGGUAAUACGGAGGAUUCGCGCGUUAUCCGGAUUUCUUGGGUGUAAAGGGAGCGUAGAUGGGUUGUUAAGUCAGUUGUGAAAGUUUGCGGCUCAACCAGAAAAUUGCAAUUGAUACUGGUAGCCUUGAGUACAGUUGAGGUAAGUGGAAUUCGUGGUGUAGCGGUGGAAUGCGUAGAUAUCAGGAAGAACUCCGAGUGCGAAGGCAGCCUACUAAACUGCCACUGACAUUGAGGCUCGAAAGUGUGGGUAUCAAACAGGAUUAGAUACCCGGGUAGUC